GUUCAAACGAGGAAGGGCUUACGUUGGAUACCUAGGCACCUAGAGAUGAGGAAGGGUGUGAUAAGCGAUGAAAUGCUUCGGGGAGUUGAAAAUGAGCAUAGAUACGGAGAUUCCCAAACAGGUUAACCUUUUUAACUAUUGUUGAAUCCAUGGGCAGGCAAGAGACAACCUAGAGAACUGAAACAUCUUAUUAGCUAGAGGAAUAGAAAGAAAAAGUGAUUCCCGUAGUAGUGGUGAGAAAAAUGGGAGCAUCCUAAACCAUGAAAAUGGGGUUGUGGGAGAUCACAAUAUAAGCUAUGUGUUGCUAGGCGAAGCGGUUGAGUCUUGCACCCUAGAUGGUGAGAUUCCAUUAGCCAAAAGAUUCAUUGGGUUACACUCUAACACGAGUAUCAUGGGGCACAUGGAAUCCUGUGUGAAUCAGCAAGGACCACCUUGCAAGGCUAAAUACUCCCGAGUGACCAAUAGCAAAGUAAUACCAUGAGAGAAAGGUGAAAAGAACCCCCAUCAGGGAGUGAAAUAGAAUAUGAAACCGUAAGAUCCCAAGCAGUGGGAGGAAAAUGAUAUCUCUGACCGCGUGCUUGUUGACUAAUGAGUCGACGACUUAUAGGAAGUGGCUUGGUUAAGGGAACCCACCGAAGCCAUAGCGAGAGUGAGUCUUCAUGCAUCAAUUGUCAUUUCUUAUGGACCCAAACCUAGGUGAUCUAUCCAUGACCAGGAUGAAGCUUGGAUGAAACUAAGUGGAGGUAUGAACUGACUGAUGUUGAAACAUCAGUGAAUGAGUCGUGGUUAGGGGUGAAAUGACACUCGAACCCAGAUCUAGCUUGAUCUCCCUAAAAUGUGUUGAGGUGUAGCAGUUGAUUGAACCAUCUAGGGGUAAAGAACUGUUUCAGUAUGGGCCACGAGAGCGGUACCAAAUCGAGGAAAAAUCUGAAUACUAUAUUUCCCCAAUAAAAGGGGUAAAGGUCAGCCAGUGAGACAAUGGAGGAAAAGCUUCAUCAUCGAGAGGGAAACAGCCCAGAUCAUCAGCUAAGGCCCCUAAAUGACAGCUCAGUGAUGAAGGAAGUAUGAGUGCAAAGACAGCUAGGGGGUUUGCCUAGAAGCACCCAACCUUGAAAGAGUGUGUAAUAUCUCACUGAUCAAGUUCUCUUGCACCGAAGAUGAACAGGACUAAGCAAUCUACCGAAGUUGUGGGAUGUAAAAAUACAUUAGUAGGGGAGAAUUCCACCUCAGAGGGAAGCACCGGCACGAGCAGGUGUGGAUGAAGCGGAAGUGAAAAUGUCAGCUUGAGUAACACAAAUAUUGGUGAGAAUCCAAUGCCCUGAAAACCUAAGGGUUCCUCUACAAGGUUCAUCCAUGGAGGGUGAGUCAGGGCUAGGUUAAUGUUCCUGUACUACCCAUUGUUGGUCCUGAGGGACAAAGGAGGCUAGGUUAGUCGAAAGAUGGUUAUCGGUUCAAGGACUCAAGGUGAUCCUACUUUUUUUAGGGUAGGAAGGGAUAGAUAAAAUGCCUCAAGCCAAUGUCCGAGUACCAAGCGCUAAAGCAUUGAAGUAACCCAUGUCAUACUCCUAGGAAAAUCUCGAAUGACAUUUAACAAAUGGGUAUCUGUACCCGAAACCAACAUAGGUAGGUAGGUAGAGAAUACCUAGGGGCGCGAGAAAACUAUCUCUAAGGAACUUGGAAAAAUAGCCCUAUAACUUCGGGAGAAGGGGUGCCUCCUCAGGAGGUCACAGUGACUAGGCUCGGGCGAUUGUUUACCAAAAACACAGGUCUCCACAAAGCCGUAAUACCAUGUAUGGGGGUUGACGCCUGCCUGGUGCCGAAAGGUUAAAGAAGUUGGUGACCUGAUGACAGGGAAGCCAGUGACUAAAUCCCCAAUGAACGACGACCGUAACUAUAACUAUCCUAAGGUAGUGAAAUUCCUUAUCGGGUAAUUUCUGACCCGCACGAAAGGCGUAACGAUAUGGGCACUGUCUUGGAGAGAGAUUCAGUGAAAUAAACAUGUCUUUGAAGAUGUAGACUACCUGCACCUAGACAGAAAUACCCUAUGAAGCUUUAUUGUUCCCUGGGAUUGUUUUUGGGUUCUUCUUGCACAGCUUAGGUGGAAGGUGAAGAAGGCUCCCUCUGGGGGGGGCCUAAGCCAUGAGUGAGAUACCACUCUGGAUGAGCUAGAAUUCUAACCUUGUGUUAGGACCUACGGGCCAAGGGACAAUCUCAGGUAGACUAUUUCUAUGGGGUGUAGGCCUCCCAAAAUGUAACAUAGGCGUGCAAAGGUUUCCUCAGGCCAGUCGUAAAUCAGCCCUCAAGUGUAAAGCCAGAAGGGAGCUUGACUGCAAGGCCCACCCAUCGAUCAAGGAUGAAAGUCGGCCUUAGUGAUCCGACGGUGCCAAGUGGAAGGGUCAUCGCUCAACGGAUAAAAGUUACUCUAGGGAUAACAGGUUGAUCUUCCCCAAGAGUUCACAUCAAUGGGAAGGUUUGGCACCUCGAUGUCAGCUCUUUUCCAUCUGGGGUAGUAGUACAUUCCAAGGGUUGGGUUGUUCUCCCAUUAAAGUGGUACUUGAUUUUGGUUCAAAACAUCGUGAGACAUUUCAGUCCAUAUUCGGUGCAGGCGUUAGAGAAUUGAGAGGACCUUUCCCUAGUACGAGAGGACCGGGAAGGACACACCUCUGGUGUACCAAUUAUCAUGCCCAUGGUAGAUGCUGGGUGGCCAAGUGCAGAGUGGAUAACUAUUGAAAGCAUAUAAUUAGGAAGCCCACCCCAAGAUGAGUUCUCUCCUAUUCUUACUUCCCUGAGAGCCCUAGUCGUGAAAAUGGUUGGGACAACGACGGGUUAUCUAUCCUUGCAGGGGAUGGAGCGACAAAAUUAUUGAGAAUCCAAGAUAAGGUCAUGGAAAGACGAUUCAUUUAUCAUUGCGAUAGGUUUCAAGUGGAAGUGCAGUGAUGUAUGUAGUUGAGGCAUCCUAACAGACUGAGAGAUUUGAACCU
Molecule: non-coding RNA, 2981 nt
Organism: Picea glauca (white spruce)
Lineage: Eukaryota; Viridiplantae; Streptophyta; Pinopsida; Pinales; Pinaceae
Source: Rfam